CGUUGACAUCAAUUAGGGUUUAGGCUCAAAGAAUGAAUGAGGCUCCCAGCAGAGAGAUUGGGACGUUUUUGAGGGUGGUUGCCCCUCUCUGCAACACAAAAGAUGAUCAGAUCAAAGAUCAUCUGAGCCGAUGAUUUCACCUCCCAAAUCAACAGCCCUCCUCUCUCUCUCUCUCUCUCUCACGCACACAUUCACUCUCUUUUUCUGUGUGUGUGUGUGUUUGCGAGUCGAAGAUUGGAUCUUCUCCAUCUUCUUCUCGCAGGAAAUUCUAUUUACACCCAAACAACUUCCCCAAAAGAAAUGAAAAUAAAAAAUAAAAAAAAUGUUUAGGCAGUCCUUACGAUAGGGUUAGAGGCUGUUGAUUGCAGCACAAAAACUUAACCCUCCGCAAGCGCUGCCUCCGGCGGAACAAAGAGAGGCUGUGACGAUGUAUUUUCUUCUGAGCACAUGAGUCGGGCACUGAGAACCCGACCCGUUUCUUGGCGGGGCAACUCUUAGGGUCUGUGAGAGAUAGAGAGAUAUGGGUUCCCAUUGUUUCUUCUCUCACGGUCAAUUGUUGUUGCAGCCAUGGCGUUUCCGGAUUCUUGCCUGAUUAUAUAUAGAUCUGAGCCUCAAAAAUAUAUACAGCAGAUAGAUUACCUUCAUAUUGUUGGUGUGCAUAUAUGCGCGCAAAACAAUUGUAAUAAUUGUGAUGCGAACACUGUCUUGUUCAUGUUUUGUGGAGUUUGUGUGUGGAAAAUGGAGCAAAUUAUCUGUUGAUUGUGUUUCA
Molecule: non-coding RNA, 769 nt
Organism: Camellia sinensis
Lineage: Eukaryota; Viridiplantae; Streptophyta; Magnoliopsida; Ericales; Theaceae
Source: RefSeq, a predicted model, not a curated record